UUAUGAUUAUGUUUUUCUACACUUUUAAUAAUCUCUUGCCUUUGACACUCCCUUUUUUUUUUUCCUAAUAAAAAAUUUAGGCCAAUUGUGGUGGCUCACGCCUGUAAUCCUAAUACUUUGGAAGGCCAAGGUGGGUGGAUCAGAAGGUCAGAAGAUCGAGACCAUCCUGGCCAACAUGGUGAAACCCCGUCCCUACUGAAAUACAAAAAAAAAAAAAAAAAAUUAGCCGGGUACGGUGGCACACGCCUGUAGUCCCAGCUGCUUGGGAGGCUGAGGCAGGGGGACUCACUUGAACCCUGGAGGCAGAGGUUGCACUGAGCCGAGAUUGCACCACUGCAUUCCAGCCUGGCAACAGAAUGAGACUCCGUGUCAAAAAAAAAAAAAAAAGAUUUGUAUUUACUUUGAAGCAUUCGGAAGGUCAACAAAACAACUGCAACAUUUUUUUUUUUUGCAAUUGCAAAGUGGUAUUUAGUUACAGAACAAUUAUUUUGUAUAAGCUGCAUCAGAGACAACUGAAGAUGAAAAAACCACCAUUCCCAUACAUAGCUAAUUUGUGCUAUGCACCAAGAAGAACCUGCUUUAAAUUUCCAUGCCAAUUUACAACCACCACCACCGCCCCCCCACCAACACCGUACAAAGCAAGGUCUCUACGAAUCAUAGAAAUAAAAGCAAAUGGAAUCUUAUCAGAUAAGUGCUUUUACAAGUCUGUAAAUAUAUUUUAUUCUUUGGAAUCUCUAAAGCAAAACUUCUUUAAAACUUUUUUUUUUUUUUUUUUUUUAGGUAUCAGCAUCAAGAUGAUUUAUGGUAAUAAGGUACUCAGUGUUGCUUAA
RNAcentral lists this long non-coding RNA (830 nucleotides) under Saimiri boliviensis boliviensis (Bolivian squirrel monkey). Its description in RNAcentral is "lncRNA (ENSSBOG00000036680.1)". Lineage: Eukaryota; Metazoa; Chordata; Mammalia; Primates; Cebidae. The record is from RNAcentral.